This 429-nucleotide ribosomal RNA is filed under the name uncultured archaeon. RNAcentral's name for it is "bacterial SSU rRNA". It matches the Rfam family "Archaeal small subunit ribosomal RNA", at positions 474 to 903 of the family's 1478-position model. The record is from RNAcentral.
UACCUGCAGCUCGAGUGGUAACCGCUAUUAUUGGGCCUAAAGCGUCCGUAGCCGGUUUGGUAAAUAUCUGGGUAAAUCGUGAGGCUUAACUUCACGAAUUUCGGAUAGACUGCCAGACUUGGGAUCGGGGGAGGUCAGAGGUACUCCAGGGGUAGCGGUGAAAUGUUGUAAUCCUUGGAGGACCACCGGUAGCGAAGGCGUCCGACUAGAACGAGUCCGACGGUGAGGGACGAAGCCCUGGGGCGCAAACCGGAUUAGAUACCCGGGUAGUCCAGGGUGUAAACAAUGUGGGCUUUGUAUUGGAGGUCCCACGUGGGCGUCCAGUGCAGAAGAGAAGUUGUUAAGCCCACCGCCUGGGAAGUACGGUCGCAAGGCUGAAACUUAAAGGAAUUGGCGGGGGAGCACAGCAACGGGAGGAGCGUGCGGUUU